RNAcentral lists this non-coding RNA (84 nucleotides) under unclassified sequences. RNAcentral describes it as "NiCo sequence". It matches the Rfam family "NiCo (Nickel/Cobalt) riboswitch aptamer". The record is from RNAcentral.
ACAGCACAAACUGAACAGGCCAGAGCCUCAGAUGCUCGGAGCCGGGUUACGAAAGUAACAGUGGUAUUAACCCACGGGACAGUG